This 460-nucleotide ribosomal RNA is filed under the name uncultured bacterium. RNAcentral's name for it is "partial 16S ribosomal RNA". It matches the Rfam family "Bacterial small subunit ribosomal RNA", at positions 338 to 795 of the family's 1533-position model. The record is from RNAcentral.
CCUACGGGUGGCAGCAGUGAGGAAUAUUGGUCAAUGGGCGGAAGCCUGAACCAGCCAAGUAGCGUGAAGGAUGACGGCCCUACGGGUUGUAAACUGCUUUUAUACGGGAAUAACGCGCCUUACGUGUAGGGCUUUGCAGGUACCGUAUGAAUAAGGACCGGCUAAUCCCGUGCCAGCAGCCGCGGUUAUACGGUAGGUCCGGGGGUUAUCCGGAUUUAUUGGGGUUAAAGGGAGCGUUGGCCGCAUGUCAAGCGUGCUGUGAAAUGUCCGGGCUCAACCCGGGCCUUGCAGCGCAAACUGGCGUGCUUGAGUCGGCGGGAAGCAUGCGGAAUUCGUCGUGUAGCGGUGAAAUGCUUAGAUAUGACGAAGAACCCCGAUUGCGAAGGCAGCUUGCUGCAGCGGAACUGACGCUGAUGCUCGAAAGCGCGGGUAUCGAACAGGAUUAGAUACCCCUGUAGUC